AAUAACAGGGGUGCUUAGGCUGAGAGUAUUUUUACAACCCUUUAACCUGAUCUAGGUAAUGCUAGCGUAGGUAUAUUUCUUAA
RNAcentral lists this non-coding RNA (83 nucleotides) under pig gut metagenome. The record is from RNAcentral.